Long non-coding RNA from Calidris pugnax (ruff), 380 nucleotides. RefSeq lists it as uncharacterized. NCBI's taxonomy places the organism in Eukaryota, Metazoa, Chordata, Aves, Charadriiformes, Scolopacidae. The transcript has 2 exons. The record is from RefSeq and is a predicted model, not a curated record.
GGGGGAGGGUGAGGAGAGGGGGGGGAGUCAGGAUGGGCUGUCGCCCCGCCGCCACCGCCACCGGGGACCCGCCCGCCGGCUGAGAGGGGAAGGCAGAGAGACCCGGAGGAAGAGCCCGGCCCGCCGAGCCCACCGGCCGUCCCCUCCAGGCCUUGCCAACAUCCAGGAAUCUGAGCACAAAAGAAACCCGCACAAGCACGUUGCAGCCCAGUUUAGCCCAGUGGCAGAGGAGUUAAAAUGCCGGUGGAGGCUGCUGGCUUUCCGCAGGGACAGGGCUGGAGCAGAGAGAAGGACCAGAAGCAGGGGCCGAGGUUUCGCCGCGGCCGCAGCUCAGCCAAGCUGUUGUUUUAAAAGAGCAAUAAAAAUGAAUUAUGACUAAA